RNAcentral lists this non-coding RNA (24 nucleotides) under Cricetulus griseus (Chinese hamster). Lineage: Eukaryota; Metazoa; Chordata; Mammalia; Rodentia; Cricetidae. The record is from RNAcentral.
UGUCCUCUCGAAUCUUGUCUGAAG